This 256-nucleotide unclassified non-coding RNA is filed under the name Hevea brasiliensis (rubber tree). Lineage: Eukaryota; Viridiplantae; Streptophyta; Magnoliopsida; Malpighiales; Euphorbiaceae. The record is from RNAcentral.
GUUUGAACAAGGAGUAGUAUCGACUAAAAAAAGAGUAGAUUAUUCAUUGCCAGAUGAUGAUAUUAUCAUUUUCAAAUGAGAAGUAAGCUAAGUUUCUCCAUAUAUUUGUUUCUUCUGAAUUAUGAUAUUAAUUAGCUAGAUUAGGCCUUUCACUGCGACAAGAAAGGGAAUAUAAAUUUUCGUUUAAGAUGCUAUAAAAUUCUAAAUUUUAAGCAUCACUGGACUGCAAUUUAUUGGGUUGGUGAGUGGUGGUGUG